GCUUCAGGGCUGGAGGGAUGGCU
RNAcentral lists this non-coding RNA (23 nucleotides) under Cricetulus griseus (Chinese hamster). Lineage: Eukaryota; Metazoa; Chordata; Mammalia; Rodentia; Cricetidae. The record is from RNAcentral.